This 497-nucleotide ribosomal RNA is filed under the name uncultured bacterium. Its description in RNAcentral is "partial 16S ribosomal RNA". It matches the Rfam family "Bacterial small subunit ribosomal RNA", at positions 28 to 507 of the family's 1533-position model. The record is from RNAcentral.
GACGAACGCUGGCGGCGUGCCUAAUACAUGCAAGUUGAGCGAUGAAGAUUGGUGCUUGCACCAAUUUGAAGAGCAGCGAACGGGUGAGUAACGCGUGGGGAAUCUGCCUUUGAGCGGGGGACAACAUUUGGAAACGAAUGCUAAUACCGCAUAACAACUUUAAACAUAAGUUUUAAGUUUGAAAGAUGCAAUUGCAUCACUCAAAGAUGAUCCCGCGUUGUAUUAGCUAGUUGGUGAGGUAAAGGCUCACCAAGGCGAUGAUACAUAGCCGACCUGAGAGGGUGAUCGGCCACAUUGGGACUGGGACACGGCCCAAACUCCUACGGGAGGCAGCAGUAGGGAAUCUUCGGCAAUGGACGAAAGUCUGACCGGGCAACGCCGCGGGGGUGAAGAAGGUUUUCGGAUCGUAAAACUCUGUUGGUAGGGAAGAACGUUGGUGAGAGUGGAAAGCUCAUCAAGUGACGGUAACUACCCAGAAAGGGACGGCUAACUACGUG